This is a long non-coding RNA of Pipistrellus kuhlii (Kuhl's pipistrelle), 123 nucleotides long. RefSeq lists it as uncharacterized. The transcript is spliced from 3 exons. Lineage: Eukaryota; Metazoa; Chordata; Mammalia; Chiroptera; Vespertilionidae. The record is from RefSeq and is a predicted model, not a curated record.
GCUUUAGCAGCACAUAUACUAAAAUUGGAACGAUACAGAGAAGAUUAGCCUGGCCCCUGUGCAAGGAUGACACACACAUUCGUAAAGUGUUCCAUAUUUUUUAUGCAGCACAUAUGCUAAAAU